AUUGAACGCUGGCGGCAGGCCUAACACAUGCAAGUCGAACGAGUGGCGGACGGGUGAGUAAUGUCUGGGAAACUGCCUGAUGACGGGGGAUAACUACUGGAAACGGUAGCUAAUACCGCAUACCAUCAGAUGUGCCCAUAUGGGAUUAGCGAGUGGGUGGGGUAACGGCUCACCAAGGCGACGAGUCCUAGCUGUGCUGAGAGGAUGACCAGCCAUCGUGGAACUGAGACACGGUCCAGACUCCUACGGGAGGCAGCAGUGGGUAAUAUUGCACAAUGGGCUCAAGCCUGAUGCCGCCCUGCCGCGUGUAUGAAGAAGGCCUUCGGGUUGUAAAGUACUUUCAGCGGGGAGGCGUUACCCUCAGAAGAAGCACCGGCUAACUCCGUGCCAGCAGCCGCGGUAAUUC
This 406-nucleotide ribosomal RNA is filed under the name uncultured bacterium. RNAcentral describes it as "partial 16S ribosomal RNA". It matches the Rfam family "Bacterial small subunit ribosomal RNA", at positions 30 to 526 of the family's 1533-position model. The record is from RNAcentral.